AUGGCGCUCGCAUCCGGGUUCUUCCCGCCACCGUCGUACACCCCGGGUGCGUCCCAGUGCGCCCCCUUCGUCCUGGGCCUCGGCUUCGGCGGCGAGUUCUGCGACCCGUCGUUUGCCGGCUACUACGACUACGAGGAGUACGCCCCAUCGGGCCCUUCGCCGCUCGCGAGCUCCAAGGACUACUACACUCCAUCGAGCCCUGACUACAGUCCGUCGAGCCCCGACUACACUCCGGAGAGCCCCGACUACACGCCGGCGAGCCCGGACUACACUCCGGCGAGCCCCGACUACACUCCCGCGAGCCCAGACUACACUCCGGCGAGCCCAGACUACACUCCGCCGAGCCCCGACUACACUCCCGCGAGCCCAGACUACACUCCGGCGAGCCCGGACUACACUCCGGCGAGCCCUUCGCUGUCACUGGAGUACACUUCGUCGAGCCCUGUUCGGCUCGCUUUCAUGAAGCCGUCUCCUCCGCGCGGCGCAUCCCCAGACUACACGCCCCUGACGCCGUCAGAGCACGCUGCUUCAUCACCUUACUAUACUCCGUUGAGUCCUCCCGGUCCCGGGCACGCUUGUUCGCCGGAUUACACGCCCAGCACGCCGCCUCCGUUGCCCCUGGUGGUGUCUGACGCCGAGUCGUGCGCGUCGCCGUAUUACACACCGUCAACUCCUUCCAGGAGCGCCGAGUCGCCGGACUACAUGCCCAGCACGCCGCCUCCAUCGCCCCUGGCUUCAGAAGCAGAGUCGACCACGUCUACAGCGCGCUGCCGCCACCAUCCGUACCAGAGGAGCGGCGCCGGCCGGAUCAACCGCGGCGGACCUCAGCGAGCCUUGGCAUAUUGA
RNAcentral lists this ribosomal RNA (846 nucleotides) under Triticum aestivum (bread wheat). Its description in RNAcentral is "partial small subunit ribosomal RNA". Lineage: Eukaryota; Viridiplantae; Streptophyta; Magnoliopsida; Poales; Poaceae. The record is from RNAcentral.